Molecule: ribosomal RNA, 702 nt
Filed under: uncultured Alphaproteobacteria bacterium
Lineage: Bacteria; Pseudomonadati; Pseudomonadota; Alphaproteobacteria
Description: bacterial SSU rRNA
Rfam family: Bacterial small subunit ribosomal RNA
Source: RNAcentral
AGCGAACGCUGGCGGCAGGCUUAACACAUGCAAGUCGAGCGGGCACUUCGGUGUCAGCGGCAGACGGGUGAGUAACGCGUGGGAACGUGCCCUUCGGUUCGGAAUAACUCAGGGAAACUUGAGCUAAUACCGGAUACGUGCGAGAGCAGAAAGGUUUACUGCCGAAGGAUCGGCCCGCGUCUGAUUAGCUAGUUGGUGAGGUUAUGGCUCACCAAGGCGACGAUCAGUAGCUGGUCUGAGAGGAUGAUCAGCCACACUGGGACUGAGACACGGCCCAGACUCCUACGGGAGGCAGCAGUGGGGAAUAUUGGACAAUGGGGGCAACCCUGAUCCAGCCAUGCCGCGUGAGUGAUGACGGCCUUAGGGUUGUAAAGCUCUUUUCUCCGGGACGAUAAUGACGGUACCGGAGGAAUAAGCCCCGGCUAACUUCGUGCCAGCAGCCGCGGUAAUACGAAGGGGGCUAGCGUUGCUCGGAAUCACUGGGCGUAAAGGGCGCGUAGGCGGCUGAUUUAGUCGAGGGUGAAAGCCCGUGGCUCAACCACGGAAUGGCCUUCGAUACUGGUUGGCUUGAGACCGGAAGAGGACAGCGGAACUGCGAGUGUAGAGGUGAAAUUCGUAGAUAUUCGCAAGAACACCAGUGGCGAAGGCGGCUGUCUGGUCCGGUUCUGACGCUGAGGCGCGAAAGCGUGGGGAGCAAACAGG